This 1785-nucleotide long non-coding RNA is filed under the name Phoenix dactylifera (date palm). Its description in RNAcentral is "long non-coding RNA (PDAC_LNC003515)". Lineage: Eukaryota; Viridiplantae; Streptophyta; Magnoliopsida; Arecales; Arecaceae. The record is from RNAcentral.
AGUGGGUUUGACUGUAACAGUCUCAAUCCCUAGCAUCUAGCUUCAUACUCUAUGUCAAAGGAUCUAAGCCGAUAAACAUUAUCAGUUUCUUUUUUGGAAAAAAAUAAUGUGGAUAUUCCUUCUUGUUCUGUUAUGACAGUGCGGCGAUAGAACUGAUCCAAAAUAGCAGAUAAGACACAAUAUUAUCAAUGGAUAAAUUCUAAAAUACCAAAAAACACAAAAAUAGAAGAUAUAUGUGUCCAACAUUUCUAAAUGCUAAUAUUGCAAUGCCAUUAUAGCAGAUCAAUAUUCCAAUAUUAUAAACUGAACAAUACGAUAAAAAUGGACAUCCAAACUGACAUCAAAAAUCACUGUUGAGGGAGUUACAAUAGCAUACAAGCGAGAACUAAAUGAUUAGGACAAAUUAAUAUAGCACACCAAAUAGAUGAAUAACGCUCACAAUUGAAUGCAUAUAAAGAAAUAAACAUCAAGUAGAAAGGUAGCGAGCAUGAACCAUCAAGAAAACAUGUAUUUCGUGAUGGAUGAUGAAGCAGGCAUUAGAACUUUGUGAAUGGAAUUGAUACAUUGACAAAGUAAUGUUAUAUGUCAGCUAACAAGCUAGUGAACAAGAGAACUUAUGUGAGAUCGCUACUUUGAAUUCAAACUGAUUGGAUCGUGCAAAACUCAUGUCUUGGUGGAUGAAGGGAAGUUAGAACCUUUGACUAAGCCAAGUCAGGACACUAGCCUUUGCUAUUUGAAUGUUGCAUCUCUGGGCCAACAAAGAUUCUCAUGUUACAAAAUAUUAAAAAUUAAGCAAGAGUAGGUUUAUUUAAUCUGAAAUGUGUGUCCGUAUCCUGUUGUGGUUGAAAGUCAAGAAUACAGGUAAUCAAGAACUUGUUUACCUUAAAAGCACAAGCACCAGGUAUGGGUGUCUCAUGCUAAAAGAAACUUGCAUGGUAACCUGUAGAACUGAAGGUGAACUGUUAAAGAGAAUAUGAGUCCACGAUACAUUGCUUAAUUGGUUGAGUGAGUGCUUAGGAUCUUGAAUGUCAUGGGAUUUAGCUUCGGAUCAUUAGUAGUAUCAUCUUGUACUAGAAAAACAUAUUAUAUGCUUUAGAUAAUAAGGGCCUAAUAUCAAUAGAAUGGAAGCUGAGUGUAUCGAGCGCAACUUCAACAAAAAAUGAAAAUGAGGAACCAAUCAAGAUUAAUGGACAAGAGAUGGCAGAGUGCGAACAGUUUUAUUUUUGCACAGCAGAGUGGAGAGAUAAUGAAAUCACAUGUAGUAGAAUUAAAGCUAUAGAUUGAAGAAAUUGCAAAGCGCUUUCAGGUAGUGACAUGACCAAUGCAAACUAAGACAACUAAGGAGAAAAUUUAAUGAAGUAACAAUAAGGCUCAACAAUAUAUGGCUCAAAAUGUUGAGCAAUAACGAGGAUUCAAGCAAAAGAAAUGAAUGUUGCAGAGAUGAGAAUAUUAACAUAGAAUCAUGAGGAACGAGUACGUUAGAGAUGGAAGUCGCACUAAAUGAGGAAAAUGGUAAUAAGUCAGUAACUGAUAAACUCCUGCCUAUUUUUACCAAAAAAAAAACUCCUGCCUAUCAGUCACUUCGAAGUAACAUAACACCAAAUACAUGUCAGAUUCAGCAAUGUCAUCAUGUUGAAGUAACAUAAUGCAGAAGAUACGUCAGGCCAAGAAAAGCUGUCCCACAAAGUGACAAAAGGAAAAAUAACCUAAACUUUAAAAAAAAAAAAAGGAAAAAAUUGAAAACAAACUAACAUUAAAAGCUGUUAUCCAGACAAUCCCAACUCA